UAAAUGGCUGAGUGGUUUAAAGCUUUAGUUUUGAAAGCUAACGUGGUUUAAUCCACCGUGGGUUCGAAUCCCACUUUAUCUUCAA
RNAcentral lists this transfer RNA (85 nucleotides) under Bangia fuscopurpurea. RNAcentral's name for it is "tRNA-Ser". It matches the Rfam family "tRNA". From Rfam's summary of the family: Transfer RNA (tRNA) molecules are approximately 80 nucleotides in length. Their secondary structure includes four short double-helical elements and three loops (D, anti-codon, and T loops). The record is from RNAcentral. Lineage: Eukaryota; Rhodophyta; Bangiophyceae; Bangiales; Bangiaceae.